GAUGAACGCUGGCGGCGUGCCUAAUACAUGCAAGUCGAGCGAACAGACGAGGAGCUUGCUCCUCUGACGUUAGCGGCGGACGGGUGAGUAACACGUGGAUAACCUACCUAUAAGACUGGGAUAACUUCGGGAAACCGGAGCUAAUACCGGAUAACAUGUUGAACCGCAUGGUUCAACAGUGAAAGACGGUCUUGCUGUCACUUAUAGAUGGAUCCGCGCCGCAUUAGCUAGUUGAUAAGGUAACGGCUUACCAAGGCAACGAUGCGUAGCCGACCUGAGAGGGUGAUCGGCCACACUGGAACUGAGACACGGUCCAGACUCCUACGGGAGGCAGCAGUAGGGAAUCUUCCGCAAUGGGCGAAAGCCUGACGGAGCAACGCCGCGUGAGUGAAGAAGGUCUUCGGAUCGUAAAACUCUGUUAUUAGGGAAGAACAAAUGUGUAAGUAACUAUGCACGUCUUGACGGUACCUAAUCAGAAAGCCACGGCUAACUACGUG
This 497-nucleotide ribosomal RNA is filed under the name uncultured bacterium. RNAcentral's name for it is "partial 16S ribosomal RNA". It matches the Rfam family "Bacterial small subunit ribosomal RNA", at positions 28 to 507 of the family's 1533-position model. The record is from RNAcentral.